GCUGCGGUGGCCGAGUGGUCAAGGCGGUAGAUUUAAGUUUUCACAACCUAAACCUCUACUGGGGAAACCCGCGCGCGUUCGAACCGCGUCCGCAGCA
Piedraia hortae CBS 480.64 is the source of this 97-nucleotide non-coding RNA. The record is from the annotation of a GenBank genome assembly. Lineage: Eukaryota; Fungi; Ascomycota; Dothideomycetes; Capnodiales; Piedraiaceae.